This 402-nucleotide ribosomal RNA is filed under the name uncultured bacterium. RNAcentral describes it as "bacterial SSU rRNA". It matches the Rfam family "Bacterial small subunit ribosomal RNA", at positions 355 to 774 of the family's 1533-position model. The record is from RNAcentral.
UCGGGAAUUUUGGGCAAUGGGCGAAAGCCUGACCCAGCAACGCCGCGUGAGGGAUGAAGUAUUUCGGUAUGUAAACCUCGAAAGAAUGGGAAGAAUAAAUGACGGUACCAUUUAUAAGCUCCGGCUAACUACGUGCCAGCAGCCGCGGUAAUACGUAGGGAGCAAGCGUUGUUCGGAUUUACUGGGCGUAAAGGGCGCGUAGGCGGCGCGGUAAGUCACUUGUGAAAUCUCUGAGCUUAACUCAGAACGGCCAAGUGAUACUGCUGUGCUAGAGGGCGGAAGAGGCAACCGGAAUUCUUGGUGUAGCGGUGAAAUGCGUAGAUAUCAAGAGGAACUCCAGAGGCGAAGGCGGGUUGCUGGGCCGACACUGACGCUGAUGCGCGAAAGCCAGGGGAGCAAACG